UGCUAAUACCGCAUACGAUCUACGGAUGAAAGCAGGGGACCGCAAGGCCUUGCGCGAACGGAGCGGCCGAUGGCAGAUUAGGUAGUUGGUGGGAUAAAAGCUUACCAAGCCGACGAUCUGUAGCUGGUCUGAGAGGACGACCAGCCACACUGGGACUGAGACACGGCCCAGACUCCUACGGGAGGCAGCAGUGGGGAAUUUUGGACAAUGGGCGAAAGCCUGAUCCAGCCAUGCCGCGUGCAGGAUGAAGGCCUUCGGGUUGUAAACUGCUUUUGUACGGAACGAAAAGACUCUGGUUAAUACCUGGGGUCCAUGACGGUACCGUAAGAAUAAGCACCGGCUAACUACGUGCCAGCAGCCGCGGUAAUACGUAGGGUGCAAGCGUUAAUCGGAAUUACUGGGCGUAAAGCGUGCGCAGGCGGUUAUAUAAGACAGAUGUGAAAGGGGGCGGGCUCAACCUGGGAACUGCAUUUGUGACUGUAUAGCUAGAGUACGGCAGAGGGGGAUGGAAUUCCGCGUGUAGCAGUGAAAUGCGUAGAUAUGCGGAGGAANCNACCNGAUGGCGAAGGCAAUCCCCUGGGCCUAAUACUGACGCUCAUGCACGAAAGCGUGGGGAGGANANAGGAGUCGGAUACCCUGGUAGUCCACGCCCUAAACGAUGACAACNGAAAGGGUGGGUCUUCACUGACUCAGUAACGAAGCUAACGCGUGAAGUUGACCGCCUGGGGAGUACGGNCCGCACGGUUGAAACUCAAAGGANUUGNCGGGGACCCNCNANANGNCGGGGAGUGGNGUAGGUUUA
This 802-nucleotide ribosomal RNA is filed under the name uncultured Acidovorax sp. RNAcentral's name for it is "bacterial SSU rRNA". It matches the Rfam family "Bacterial small subunit ribosomal RNA", at positions 161 to 949 of the family's 1533-position model. Lineage: Bacteria; Pseudomonadati; Pseudomonadota; Betaproteobacteria; Burkholderiales; Comamonadaceae. The record is from RNAcentral.